Molecule: non-coding RNA, 3470 nt
Organism: Triticum urartu
Lineage: Eukaryota; Viridiplantae; Streptophyta; Magnoliopsida; Poales; Poaceae
Source: RefSeq, a predicted model, not a curated record
UUGACUCCAUCGCAGCCGCCCGCCCGCACUGCUCUCCAGCCGAGGUUUCUUUUUAGUAAAUCCAGCCGAGGUAAUUUAUUCCCCCUGCCAACUGGUUUUUUACGAUGCGCUUUAGCCAUUUUGGAGCUCACCCCACUCCCCACAAUUUCUAAAACUAUUGGGAGCGGAAACGGCGAGCGGUUUGGAGGUGAGCGGCGGUAGGUUUCGGCGGCGAGCCGACGGCAGUUGCGGGUGGAUUUGGGUGUGGGCGACGCCGAAGGUGGCCCCGUUGGCUGGCUGCAGCGUUUCCAGAGGCUUCCCGGCGUGUGGCAGCCUCGUCGCCCGGCGGCCGUGCCAUGAGACCAUGACCCGCCUCCACCCUCCGCUCCCUUCGUUGCGCUGGCGAUGGCCCGGCCUGCCUUGCCAUUCCCCGCCCCCGAGCUCCUGCCAUGUCCUGUCGUCGUCGCACCGGCGCCGGAACCCAUCCCACUUUUCUCUUUUUGUUGCGCACAGCAGUAGGAGGUCUCCGUUUGGAGCCAGGGUCGCGGCCCCCUACCUCCGACCAGCGAAAGCAGACCCCGCGUAAGAUGCGCGGUUGCAGCAGCAACAUCUAUUCCACGCCCUUACUUCUUCAACCAGCUGGACGAGGCUCCAUGGCCUUCAUGCCCUAGCUGCUGCCCUCUGGUCUGGUUUUUCUCUUUUCCUCUUUCCUUCUCUCCCUCUGUAUGUGUGUGCAUGCGUGCGUCUGUGUUCUUCUUAUUAGUCAUUACUGAAGUUUAGAUUGAUUGGUGUUAUGCAGGACGAGUAUUGUGCAGGAAGCCCAGGAGUCAAUUUAUAUCUUAUCUGACCAUCUUAGAUAUUUCCUUAUUUCUUAGGUUUGUGAUUUGGCUUUGGCCUGUGUAUAAGUUUAUUCCCAAUUAGGAAUCCACUACUGUACCACGGUAGCAUUUAUCUCAUUCUGAAUCUCAAAGGUAUUUUAGAAAUCCCAUAUUAAUCAUUUAAUUUAUGACAUAGUUGGAUAAUCAUGAAACAAAAUUUGUUGAUUUGAUGGUUGCAAACCUAUAUUUUUCCAUCUUUCAAAUGCCAUGUAAUGUUUCUCAUAGGCUCGACAUAUACAUAUUGGCCUAAAUCUGCAUUUGUGUUUGGUUGUCUAUCUAAAUUCAGUUUCUUCCAUUAAUUUUGAUGGUGUAUUUCUCCCAGAACUUAGAUAUACAGUUGUUAGCUGAAUUUAAUCGUAGAAUGACGAUCUUCUUUCCAUGUCAUGCAAAAACAGCAACCUUCUCUUUUUUAUGUUGUUAUUUAAAAAAUGUUCCACGUAUACUGUUGUUAGCUGAAUUUAAUUGGGGACUGAUCUGGUUUCCAUGCCAGGAGCAUGUAUUGAUUUAUUCUCCCAUGGGAAGUAUCUGCUCCAUGCUCCAGUUUGGUCAAAUUUAGUAAGAAAUUCAGUUAGCUGAAUUUAGAUAGAUUGCCCAUAUGCAGAGGUGAGGCAUUGUAAUUUUUAUUUUGAUCUCAGCCCCGUAUUUAUUUGUUUAUUAGGGCAUAGCUAUCCUACAAGCUAAAUACUCGUUUCAAGCCGAGAUGAUCUUGUCGCUACCUUCCCCUCUCCAUAAUACACGAUCGCCAGUGACACCUGCAUCAACGACGACGACUGCCUGGUUCUCUCCUGUAAGUAUUCCUCCAUCAUCCUCUUUUUUCUCUUCCUCUUCCUCGUCUGAAAAUAUAGGUUCUGAGAUUUCUAUCUCUCCCAGGCUCCCCUCCUCCUGAUUCUUUUAUUGGGUUAUGUUAGAUGUUUGUAAAAUUGACAAGAGUUUUUGGUAAAAAAAAAAUUACUGUUGUUUAGGCACCAUGCCACUGCUAAGAUUAUUGUAGUACCUUCAAUAUUGCCCCCUCCUUUUUCUGCAAAAUGUGUAAAUGUAGUUAAGAGUACGGAAAACAUGAGAUCUUUGUUUAAAAAACCUUCAGACAUCUUUGUUUUUGGGUAUCAAAGUUCAGUGUUAUUGCUGCUCUGACAUAGUGUUUUCAUGGUGAAAAAGUGGACUGCUAAUGAAGAAAUAUAAAUUUUGUCAAAUGAGUAGAAAGUGUUUAAAUUCAGCAACUGUCUACAUUUCAACAAAUAAAGUGAUGCAAGGUAUUCAGGUUUCUGCUACCAACGAGAAUUUACAUGAGUUUUGGCAUUAACUUACUGCUUAAUUGUUGUCGUGCUGAUUGUUUCUCUUUGGUUUCAGAAGCAUAUGUACUGUUGGACUGUUCAUAAACUAUUUGACUACGGAUUUCCAUGGGAUCACAUCUCAAUCUACCUCAUGUUGAUGCACUGUCAAAAUUAAUUCAGUACUAUUUUUGUCGUAUUUUUGGCUAAAAUACCACCCAUCCCUUGACUGUAUGUUCUUUCAUAUGUACUAUAAUCUGGAAGCAUAAUUAAAAUAUUUUCUUUUAAGUUGAUGGUCAUUAUUUUGCAGCUGAAGGUUUAUAUGAUAUGUGCAUAAUCGUAUAAAAAGUGUUCAACUACUUGUAUGCACUAGUCGAUUUUUUGAACAAUGUUUGACUUAUUAGUUCAUCCGAAAUAGACAUGGACUCUGUCUCAAUAUUUUGUUUCUUCUCAUAUGCUAUUUGUGGUCACCCCAAAAUAUUUUCCACUGAGAUCAGGGUGCCAUUUGGAAGCAAUGCAAACCUUGCAUGUAUGAGCAAUUUCAGGUCUCAAUACUUUGAUAGUGACAUAAAGCUACCUAUCGCCAACUUUUUGUGUUCAGAUCUGAGACAAAUAACCAAGAGAAAGGAAGAAGGCAAGGUAUGUGCCCACUAACUCCUAACGAGGUAGGGCUAUUGUUGGGAGCAUUAGGCCACGGAAGCAAUGUCCAUAUUUAUGCUGCUUCUAGCAAGGUGGAGAAGAUACUUUACCAGUCCUCAAAGCGCUCUAUUCAUAUUUCCAUACAGAAGGAUCAUUGUCAAGUAAAGAUGAGUUGACUCCAUUUUUGCCACACUCAUCUCUCAUGACUUCAAUCGAUUUCAUUUUCUAUGAUGGAAUUGAUUCUGACAAUAAUGGCAACAUGGCCAGAAUACUUGCUAUUGCUGGACCAAGGUGCGAGUAGUCCAGAAAGGAUCUAUGGGACAUUCCAUGGAAGUCAUAACAGAAGAGGCGAAUUCUAUGCCAACCCUACUGCCUCUUCUGUUAUGAGAAGAAACAAAAUAUUCACAAUGGAGGAAAGACUAAAGAUGACCCCUGGAGGAGCGAAGAAUUCCGAAGAUGAUCCCACCAGGACAAAAGUGGUGAUUGAUAUUGGGGCUGGAGAUGAUUCUUUUGUCAGAUAGGAGGUUUCUGAGCUAGAGGAAAUCCUGAUUAGUUGAGUUAUUUUGCAACUCAAAGAAAUUUGUUAAAGUUAUUUGCAUAGAAGUGGUGUAUGUGGUAUACUAAAAAUUCAGAAAAUUUCUGAUUUUAUUUGGUUGGAUUUUGGUGUAUGCAUGAACUUUCCUUCUUAUUAUAGUGUAUUGCAUCU